GGCCUUUCUUCCAGCCCGAGUCCAUUUCUGAAAUUGGAGGGAAUAUUCCCCUUAGAAUAUUUUGUUAACUCCCAGUUAACUUUAACAGAAUAUUCCGUUAAAUUUAACUGUUGACUUAUGUUAACUUUUUUGAAAUUUUUUCGGAAACCCUCCUAGGCUAAUUUUGACAUCCCGAGUCCAUUUUUGAUAUCCAUUUAGGAAAAUUAUGAAGUUUUAACAUAGUUGAUCAUUGGG
This 234-nucleotide long non-coding RNA is filed under the name Malus domestica (apple). RNAcentral's name for it is "long non-coding RNA (MDOM_LNC012106)". Lineage: Eukaryota; Viridiplantae; Streptophyta; Magnoliopsida; Rosales; Rosaceae. The record is from RNAcentral.